AUUGAACGCUGGCGGCAGGCCUAACACAUGCAAGUCGAACGCGUGGCGGACGGGUGAGUAAUGUCUGGGAAACUGCCUGAUGGAGGGGGAUAACUACUGGAAACGGUAGCUAAUACCGCAUACCCUCGGAUGUGCCCAGAUGGGAUUAGCUAGUAGGUGGGGUAAAGGCUCACCUAGGCGACGAUCCCUAGCUGGUCUGAGAGGAUGACGAGCCACACUGGAACUGAGACAAGGUCCAGACUCAUACGGGAGGCAGCAGGGGGGAAUAUUGCAGAAUGGGCGCAAGCCUGAUGCAGCCAUGCCGCGGGUAUGAAGAAGGCCGUCGGGUUGUAAAGUACUUUAAGCGGGGAGGCGUUACCCGCAGAAGAAGCACCGGCUAACUCCGUGCCAGCAGCCGCGGUAAUUC
This 406-nucleotide ribosomal RNA is filed under the name uncultured bacterium. Its description in RNAcentral is "partial 16S ribosomal RNA". It matches the Rfam family "Bacterial small subunit ribosomal RNA", at positions 29 to 526 of the family's 1533-position model. The record is from RNAcentral.